GACGAACGCUGGCGGCGUGCUUAACACAUGCAAGUCGAACCGACAGGCCCUGCUUGCAGUGUUCUCGCGUGGCGAACGGGUGAGUAACUCGUGGGUGAUCUGCCCUGCUCUUCGGGAUAAGCCUGUGCAACUGGGUCUAAUACCGGCUAGGUGCCAUUUUUAGUGUGAUGGUUCGAAAGUUUUUUCCGUUUAGGCUGAGCUCGCGGGCUAUCUGCUUGUUGCUGGGGUAAUGGCCUACCAAGGCGGCGAGGGGUAGCCGGCCUGCGGGGGUGGACGGCCACAUUGAGACUGAGAGAAGGCACAGACAGCGACGGGAGGGAGAAGGGGGGAAGAUUGAACAAGGGGCGCAAGGCUGAUGCAGAGAGGCCGCGGAGGGGAUGACGGCGUUCGGGGUGAAGACUCAAUGCGCUAGGAACGAAGCUUGUUGUGACGGUACCUAGAUAAAAAGCACCGGCUAACUACGUG
RNAcentral lists this ribosomal RNA (465 nucleotides) under uncultured bacterium. Its description in RNAcentral is "partial 16S ribosomal RNA". It matches the Rfam family "Bacterial small subunit ribosomal RNA", at positions 28 to 507 of the family's 1533-position model. The record is from RNAcentral.